This 491-nucleotide long non-coding RNA is filed under the name Homo sapiens (human). RNAcentral's name for it is "HSALNT0296480". The record is from RNAcentral. Lineage: Eukaryota; Metazoa; Chordata; Mammalia; Primates; Hominidae.
CCCGGCAGCCGCCCCGUCUGAGAAGUGAGGAGCCCCUCCGCCUGGCAGCCACCCCGUCUGGGAAGUGAGGAGCGUCUCCGCCCAGCAGCCGCCCCGUCCGGGAGGGAGGUGGGGGUCAGCCCCCCACCCGGCCAGCCACCCCGUCCGGGAGGGAGGUGGGGGGUCAGCCCCCCGCCCGGCCAGCCGCCCCGUCCAGGAGGUGAGGGGCGCCUCUGCCCGGCCACCCCUACUGGGAAGUGAGGAGCCCCUCUGCCCGGCCACCACCCCGUCUGGGAGGUGUGCCCAACAGCUCAUUGAGAACGGGCCAUGAUGACAAUGGUGGUUUUGUGGAAUAGAAAGCGGGGAAAGGUUGGGAAAAGAUUGAGAAAUUGGAUGGUUGCCGUGUCUGUGUGGAAAGAAGUAGACAUGGGAGACUUUUCAUUUUGUUCUGUACUAAGAAAAAUUAUUCUGCCUUGGGAUCCUGUUGAUCUGUGACCUUACCCCCAACCCUG